This 247-nucleotide ribosomal RNA is filed under the name uncultured bacterium. Its description in RNAcentral is "partial 16S ribosomal RNA". It matches the Rfam family "Bacterial small subunit ribosomal RNA", at positions 523 to 769 of the family's 1533-position model. The record is from RNAcentral.
AUACGUAGGGGGCGAGCGUUGUCCGGAAUUACUGGGCGUAAAGGGUGCGUAGGCGGUACUUUAAGUUGGAUGUGAAAUCCCCGGGCUUAACCUGGGGCCUGCAUCCAAUACUGGAGAACUAGAGUGCAGGAGAGGGAAGCGGAAUUCCUAGUGUAGCGGUGAAAUGCGUAGAUAUUAGGAAGAACACCAGUGGCGAAGGCGGCUUUCUGGACUGUAACUGACGCUGAGGCACGAAAGCGUGGGGAGC